AGAAGCAGGUAGACCCUAACCGACGAAGGGGGGGCGCGUUACCACCGGAAGGUGGUCAAUGACUGGGGUG
Molecule: ribosomal RNA, 70 nt
Filed under: uncultured bacterium
Lineage: Bacteria
Description: partial 16S ribosomal RNA
Source: RNAcentral